UACGGGGGGGGCAAGCGUUGUUCGGAAUUACUGGGCGUAAAGGGCGCGUAGGCGGCGCGGUAAGUCACUUGUGAAAUCUCUGAGCUUAACUCAGAACGGCCAAGUGAUACUGCAGUGCUAGAGUGCAGAAGGGGCAAUCGGAAUUCUUGGUGUAGCGGUGAAAUGCGUAGAUAUCAAGAGGAACACCUGAGGUGAAGACGGGUUGCUGGGCUGACACUGACGCUGAGUGCGCGAAAGCCAGGGGAGCAAACGGG
RNAcentral lists this ribosomal RNA (254 nucleotides) under uncultured bacterium. RNAcentral's name for it is "partial 16S ribosomal RNA". It matches the Rfam family "Bacterial small subunit ribosomal RNA", at positions 524 to 776 of the family's 1533-position model. The record is from RNAcentral.